UUUUCUCCAUACCUUUUUAUUGAACUGUGCAUACUUCAUUAAAGGACCAUUUGCUUAGAAAUUCUUAAACGUUUGGACAUAUUUUACAAGACAGGACAGCAGCUGGAGGUCACAAUUUCAUCUCAUCACAUGCAUAAAAAGACACCGUUUUUUUUGUUGUUUGGUUUAUGUGUGUGUGUGUGUAUUUGUGUGUGUGUAUGUGCACGCACAUGCACAUACACACACACAAUGCUCAUUUUCACCUUUACAGGAAGGACUAGAGACAUCAACUGACCAGAGAUGAACAGGACCCACAAAUGCGACCCCGAGAAAAGAAUGGCUAAGGACAUUGGUCUUUUAUGGCUAAUGUGAUAGGCUUGGCCCCCAUCAUGGGUGGGGUGAUCAGAAUGGCUUUGCUGGCAGGAAAGCCUCAACCUCACACCAUGGUUCCUGGGAGAGACAGAGGGUCUUAGCUAAUGGAAUUGGGGCACACACGACCUUAGGGGGGCACUGGGGCUCGGAAAAUAGGGGAAAACCCAUUGGCUCUCAAAGUCGGAGGGCGGGUUGGCCCUCUUUUCCAGCUGGACUUCCAUGGCUCAGGGAAUGCAAUCCAGUUUCCAGAUGUCAGCUCCCAAAUUCCUGCCCCCAGCAAAUCCCUUUUUUGUUAGCUAAACUAGAACAUGAGGCUAAGAAUGCAGGAUAGGAAAGUAGGAAGGAGCCUGGGGCUGCCCUGUGGGGCCCCUGGAAGCGUAGCUCUGAGAAGACUGUGGCCCUUAGGGCAGACGAAUGUCAAAUUUGGACAUUCACUUGCCCCCAACUGAGUCAAGGGGCAAAUGGCAUUGGUGGGGCUUACAGGCUUUAAUUGGUGCGGUUUACAGGGGGGCGGGCAUCUCCUUCUUUCCCAGUUAGCAAUAUCGUCAAGCCAGGCAAGAACCAAUGAAUUCCUGUAUUUACUCACUCAGAAGUCAAUCGUUUACACAUUCUCUCACUCAAAAGAGUACUGGUUGGGUGUCUACUAUGUGCCACAGGCUUACACUGGGGGACAACCCUGAGUUCCUGGCACAGAAAAUGACGUUGCCAGCCCUUGGCCUGGGACUGAAGCCAGGGUAGGUCUGGAGAGCAAACAGGUCAGCUGCCCCCAGCCCAGCAGCUGCUGACCUUCUUCUUUCCUGUCCAUUAGGCACAUGGAGCUUCGAUGUCAGGCCUAUCGGAGAGAGCCCAAAACCCUAGUGAAGAUCAGGGGGCCAUAAGCCAAAGCCGUGGAGAAAUCUGAAUCUCUUAGGCAUCUUCUCAUGUGCUUCCUUCUGUGUUUUCCAAACCUGGAUUAGCUCAGGGAGGCAAGAAGUGUGGGAUGAUCUGUGUAGGACCCUUGAGAGCAUCUUGAGACAGAAUUGGGAGUCUCCUUCGUUUUCCAGAAUUGUCAUGCCAUUGUAGCCACCAAUGUGACAUAUUUCUGUAGGACAGAGCCUCAAAGGGGGAUCUUGGGAACUGGGUUUUUGUUUCAUUUUGUUUUGGGAGAGAGUAUCUGCUCAGUCAGUUCAUGCCACCCUAUUGUCUUGCCUCACUUCAUGAUAAAACCACCUACAACAGCCUGGACUUGGGGUCACCCUGAGGACAAAGCCUCACCUCCUCCAAGCCCACAAUACACAAUUAGGGGGAGGGAAGCCUCGCCUCCUCCAAACCACCUCUUGUAUAAAAUACUCUCCUUGGAGAAUGCAGUAUCCAGAUUCACUCGGGAAGGGGCUACAGAUGUGGGAGACUGGCAGCUGAAGCCUUGUUUUGCUGCAAAAUUGGAUUACAGCUGCCUCUCUCUUUUGGUCCUUCUGGACUUGCUUCAUUGGGUGGGGAAUUUCAAAUGUCUUGAAUGGGAUUUUCUGUUUUAUUUGCCAGAAAAAAAAAAAAAAAAGCCCUUUUGGAGUGGUGCCAUUUGCUAUUGCCUGGGCAGUUAGACCGCUGGCUAGUGGAUAAAAGAUAAUUGCAUCUCUUGUACAAAAAGCCUCAGGCCUGUGAGGGCACAGGGUCUGGGCAGAAGAGCUGAAGCACCAUGAGAUGGCCAGCCAGAGAUGGGACGAUUUCUUGGCUGGUCUGGGAAGGUAGCAUUAAGCCUCAUCCUACCCAGUGUGGUUCCUGUUAGGGCACUGGGGAUGGGUUAGAUGAAUGACUGGCAGGGUCAUUAAAAUUGCCCAAGAUAGGAAGCAGCAGGGAAGCAGGGUAUCCUGCUGCCACUUCCUUCCCCGGCACUCUUGCAGAGAACUCCAGAUCCUAGAAUUUGAGUUUCUGCUAACUGUACUCCCUCCUUUUGCCUGAUGCCUUGAGCCUGCACCCAGAUGUCCAAAUCACAUACAGACCUCCCUGGGGGAGGGGGAUGAAUUUCCCUGGUUGUUCAGUCCAGUUGCCAUGCAAUGUGAGGGCCCUCUGCAACAUCCAUUUUGUGCAUCAUCUAGCUUCUUUUUAAGCAGCUCAUGCCCCAACACAGCACCGACUUCCAUGGUGAGGCAGCCCUGCCCCUGAGAAGCACCUCCUUAAUCCCAGCUGAAACUGACCACUUCGUUCUCUCACACAACAGUGGCUUUCGGAGACUCGCUCGCUUGCAGCCCUCCUCCAGGCAGAUGGUUUCUUCUUCGGGAGAACUGCCCCCCCUUCCCCUAUCCUAGCCAGCCCUUGGAUCUUUUCAGGAUCUUUGCAGAGAGGAAUGAACAGUCACAAUUGUGAGGGGAAAAAGAUGAGGGACCACUGGAUUAACCAGAGCCUCUUCCGAAUCCACUUCUUCAGGCUGGCAUUUGGGGAUGUUCAGGAGAAAUUCCAGGUUAAGAAAACCAGGGGCAGUAGAUAGAAACCCAAACUUCCCAAUAUCUCUCUAGAUGAAAACAGCCACAGGAUAGAGUAUUUGCUUAUCUGGGCAUCAAACCUAGUGAACUACUGAGAGACAAUUUUAUUUUCUUCCUGUGCAAAAGUUUUUAAAAAUUUAGUCUAUUUUAUUGGGCUCUGGUUCAAACCAGAUUACCAGGAAUUUUGGAGGUGGGAAAACUCUACAUUUGUCCUUGGAUUCGUUUCCUCUUGGAGUUUAUCCAAGGGGAUGGUUCAUUGCCAUGGGGGCCUGGAUUCAGCUCAGAACUCUGAUCUGGGCAGAGGCCAGAGUCCUGAAGCUGAUAGUGAGGCAGAUGGGGGUAUGAACACCUAAAUGAAUGCAAGUUGGAGAUCAUCUGGCCUUUCUUCAUCUUCCUGCAUGAGUUGAAGAGUGGAGAAUUGCUUUCUGCUGAAGAUCCUGCUUCAUGAGAUGUCCUCUGCCCACCUGAGGCUGGAAGCUGCCAGGUGGAAUUAAGACAGUACAGAAACUCCUCAGGGCCCGGAUAGGUGGAAGCUGGAAAGACACCACUGCCCUUGCCACAAGUCUCUGGUGCUAUGGAGCCAGGCAGCUGGGAAGGGAAGGGGAGAUGAAAUGGCAGAUUCUGGGGGACAUGUCUUCUCAGGGUUUGGCUGUAAGCUUGUCUAUUAUUUGUUUGUUUGUUUUUUUGGUGAGGAUGUUGGAAAUGGAUUAAAAUGAGGAACUGAUAAGAAGUUGAUGAGAUCUGAGGCCCAGCAUGUUCUCUGAGGUUUGUAAGAACCUGAAAAUGCUCUGGCCUUCGGAUCCAAUUGAUGUUACAGGGGAGCGGGGGACUGGAGAUGGCAACAGGCCAGCCAAGAGGGGCUUGGGUGUGUUCUGGACCUCAGGGGGAAGUUUGCUUGCGUGAGAUUUUCAGUCCCAAGAUCUCUGGGGAUGAGAAAAUUCAGUCUCUUCAAAAUGCCAGCAGGGUGGGGGAGAAGGAGCUGAACCAGCCCACAUUCCAUCCUGAUUUUGAGGGCCAUCCGUAGCCCUGCUUCCCCUGGUCUCACUCCUGCAUCUGUGCCCUGGAUUCUUAAGAACAAUAAAUAGGAGAAACACACAGACAGAACGAGGAUAGUAACAGUGUCCACAGAUUCGAGGCCAAGUGUCAGGAAAUGCCUGCAUGAGGAAGUCAGAAUCCAAUGUCUUCCCCAUCCUCAGAAAGUCAGAAUCAAAAGGAAGAAAGCCCAAGGGGUGAUGGGAGGAAAUGAGAGAGACCAGAAAAUAUCAGCUAUGAGAAUGACCAACCAUAAAACUCCUAAAAUGUUAUUCUAUAUUACAAAAGAAGCCAUGAGACUUAAUAUCUCUAUUACAAAUUUGCUAAAAACACACAUAUGCCUACAUACUUUUUAUCCCAACAGAUAAAAAAUAGACUACUCUGAGAUACAUGGAUAUCCUACAAUACAGCCCUGCAUCAGAUACUUCUAGAGCCAGAAACAUGGCAACAGAAAAUGCAGAGGUAACUGUUAUUUUGGGGGCGGAGCCAGGCUGGUUUGGGUCCCCCUGGCUGAGGGAAAGCAUUUGCAUGCUGUCAUAUAAGCCGGGAGAAACCAGAAACAGGAAACUGAGCUCAGGGCUGCAGGGGAUCCAGAGGUGACCCCUUCUUCCUCUCGUCACUGGAAAAGCCCUUUCCCAAAGGAUCAUGCCCUGGAGGCAUGUCACUUCAAUCUCAUUGGAUUCAAAGUUACCUAAAUGGAGGCUGAAGCCUGGGGUUGUGUUACUUGAGACUAGCUGGCAGAGAAAUAAGGAAAGGGGGGCAUGGAGGGGAGGGAAGAGAGGAAGGGGGAGAAAGAGGGAGACCUGGCUCUAGUGACCCUUGUCCAUGGUGAAGUUUAAAUUUCAAACCCUUGUCCGUGGACGAGACACUCCAGCCGUGACUUGGAACAAGACAGAUAUGUUACAAACAUCAAUACAUCACAGUUGUACAGAAGAGAAUACUGUUGGUGGUGGUGUUUUCUCCUCAGAAAAGUGGGUCUUAUUAGGAGAAAGGGCAGGGGUGAAGCUACAGUCACCAAGACGCGGUGGAGGAGAGCUGGGAGUCAGUUUGGCAAAGUUUGUCGUCACCAGCGCUACUCGGGGGCAAGCCGGGUGAGGUGAAAGGAAUGGCCUCCUCAGGAUUUUGCUGUUCCCCCCUCUUCUGUCUUCUUCCUUCUUGAUCCCCAGUGCUUUUAGAGAAAGGGACUUCACGGAGACAAUGUGUUCUAUCCUCUUUUCUUCUUUCCCCAUGAAGUGUGCUUAAGAUAAAAUUCCUAGAGAAGGCACUGAGAAAUCUACUGCACCAAAGUCCUGUUGUUUGUCUUUACCCAAAGAUAAAAAAGUGAAAACAAGCCGACUCCUCCAGAGCUCGCCCACCUCUCUCUCCGUGGGUCGCAGGCUCCCCCGUGUGAUCGGGGACACACAGAGACCUGGUCCCUAGCCCUUACUGCUAAUGGUGGAAGUUGGAAGCCAAGGUCCGCUGGGUUCUUGACCAGGGUUUCACCGAAUUCGCCAAAGGGACCAGGCAUUCACCAGCUCCAGCCCCUAGUUUGGUUUCUUUGGGUUGACUUGUUUUUAUUUUUUAUUUUUUAUUUUUCCCAUUUUUGUUGGUUCAGGAAUGGGUAGGACAUGGAUCACUGAGUUAAAGUGCUUAUUUGCCUGCAGACCAUGCUCUUUCCUCUCCUCCAUGAGGACCUGUCUGUCUUGGUCAGCUUCUCCGUGGAGACUCUUAGGUAGAUUUCCCAGUGCAUGUACACAGGUACAGGUAAGGUGUACAACAUUUUAAAAAUCGGGGUACGUUCCUUUUUUGGCAGGUGGGGCCUGGGAAAACUUACAAUACUCUAUUUUGAGUUGGGCACAGGAUAAAAGCUAUAUUCCCACAAUACAUACACCAAGUAAAAGAAAAAAACCAAAACAAAAUGCAAUACUUUCUAAGCAUAGUAUAUGCUGAGUUUCAAUUAUUCUGUUUCUAUAAGAACUCUAUAGGACUCUGGCUAGUAAGCCUGAAAAGGUAGGUUCUUAAUGAUACUUCUGAAUUCGUCCUUCAAAAGUGACUCAAUAAAAUGCUACUUUAAGGUCAGACAAACUACACGGGGAACGGAGGGCCAGGUCCUGUGUGACCACACAAGGCAGAAAGGGCCUUUGGUUACAAGGAGAGUUGCACCAAUUGGUUAUUAGUUUAAAAAAAAAAAAAAGAAAGAAAGAAAGAAAGAAA
Molecule: long non-coding RNA, 6032 nt
Filed under: Canis lupus familiaris (dog)
Lineage: Eukaryota; Metazoa; Chordata; Mammalia; Carnivora; Canidae
Description: lncRNA (ENSCAFG00000052569.1)
Source: RNAcentral